Molecule: long non-coding RNA, 216 nt
Filed under: Mytilus galloprovincialis (Mediterranean mussel)
Lineage: Eukaryota; Metazoa; Mollusca; Bivalvia; Mytilida; Mytilidae
Source: RNAcentral
UUAAGCCCCAGUCCCACUAGACCACGAUCGCACCACGCUCACCGCGAUCUAAAAUAAAUUUAGAUCGUGGUGAGGUCGCGGUAUGAGCGGCAUGAAAAUGUAAAUUUUCGUUGCUUUCACGAUGCUACUACGUCCUCUCUACGCUUCUACAAAGAUCCCGCUACGAUUAUACCACGUUCUCACAGCGCUUAUUCUGCGACCUCACUACGCUUAUCA